GAUGGGAUGGAGUCUCCUAUUCAGCUGACCUUACAAUAGGGAAACUAUCCUGAAUUAUCCUAGUGGGCCCAAUGUAAUCAUAAACAUCCUUAAAGGCUCCAGGGAUUAGGACAUGGGCAUCUUUUGAAGGCCAUUAUUCUGCCUACCACACAAUACCAUCCCAAUACCAUUGUAAGAGUCUGUUUCCUGAGGCCAUUUCUAAAGUGCUGCCGAUUGGCCAAACCUGCACAAGGCAGAAGGCAAAGGAGCAGAGUUGAUGUAGCCAAAGAAAGUCAGCAUCCUAGGGCAUGAAGCAGGUGGGGAAGGGCGCCAUGUUGUGAGGAAACCCAGAUCACAUUAAGAGGCCACAAGUAAGUGUUCCAACCGACAGACCCUGCUAAGGUCUCAGCUGACAGCUAGCAUCAACUGCCAGACAACACACAGGACACGGUGGGGAUGCAGCAACUUGGACCUCAUCUGCCUGUGCUCUAAUUCAAAGACAAAUAUGUUUCCCAACUUGCCCAAGGCUCUGGCAGGGAAAACCAGAUCCCCAAACUCAGGUCGUUCUAGUGCAGCAAUAACCAGCUGGGUUUUCAGCAACUUGGAUGGAGCCAUCUGUUUUCCCAGCCCACAUAAAAAUAUGCACAAGAAGGGUGCAAAUCAGCAAGUCCACAGCUUCCAGAGGCCCCAGCUGGGAUGCGCCCUCCCUUUGCGGACUAAUGAAAGCCACAUCCUUCUUGCUGUGUCACAGUUGCUGAAAUUUCUGGAUGUCAAUAUUUGCUUUCUAUCUCCACUAAGAGGAAUGCACAUAGUAACUUAAUUGAUUGAUCCAUCAACUUCCAAAGGUAUAUUGAGCCUGAGCCCUAUAGGAACAACAAGGUCUGCUGUUUUCAUAGAGCUUAUAGUUGAUUGGAGAGACAGGGCCAGUGUGUGAAAUGACAAUACUAUUAGCACGUAUAAGCUGGCAGCGGAACAAUACUCUAAGCAGGUAUCAGUAAGGGCCAGAUGACUUGAGCGUCUGGGGAUUCAUCAGUUAUACCCACAGUGGUGGGGCUGUCAAGUGUCCUGGGAGAAAAGAGCUCUACACUGGAAUGCUAACUUCAAUAUCUGGGUGAAGCAAAGGCCAGAAAACAAAAAGGGGAGGAAGCCAGCAACCUUGAGAGGCUCUGCUGACCAUUUAAUAGUAUCUGGAUUUACCUUCCCUCUGCCUCAUUUUGAGUCUUACUCUGGUGAUGGGCUCUUACACUCCUUGCUUCAAGGGAAAAUGUUCCAUGUUCUCAUCUUCUAUUUACCCAACUCUUGAAAACAACAUAAAAGAGAAUACA
This is a long non-coding RNA of Symphalangus syndactylus (siamang), 1304 nucleotides long. RefSeq lists it as uncharacterized. NCBI's taxonomy places the organism in Eukaryota, Metazoa, Chordata, Mammalia, Primates, Hylobatidae. The record is from RefSeq and is a predicted model, not a curated record.